CAAUAGCGUAUAUUAAAGUUGUUGCAGUUAAAAAGCUCGUAGUUGGAUUUGUGGCGUACGGUGUGUUCCGGGCACUUGUUGUCUGAGUAACCUGCUGUUGCCAUCCUUGGGUGGAACCUGUGUGGCAUUAGGUUGUCGUGCAGGGGAUGCCCAUCAUUUACUGUGAAAAAAUUAGAGUGUUCAAAGCAGGCUUAUGCCGUGGAAUAUAUUAGCAUGGAAUAAUGAGAUAGGACUUUUUUGCUAUUUUGUUGGUUUGCGCAAAGAGGUAAUGAUUAAUAGGGACAGUUGGGGGUAUUCGUAUUCCAUUGUCAGAGGUGAAAUUCUUGGAUUUUUGGAAGACGAACUACUGCGAAAGCAUUUACCAAGGAUGUUUUCAUUAA
This 380-nucleotide ribosomal RNA is filed under the name uncultured eukaryote. RNAcentral's name for it is "partial 18S ribosomal RNA". It matches the Rfam family "Eukaryotic small subunit ribosomal RNA", at positions 592 to 976 of the family's 1831-position model. The record is from RNAcentral.